RNAcentral lists this ribosomal RNA (387 nucleotides) under uncultured Oscillospiraceae bacterium. RNAcentral's name for it is "bacterial SSU rRNA". It matches the Rfam family "Bacterial small subunit ribosomal RNA", at positions 8 to 339 of the family's 1533-position model. Lineage: Bacteria; Bacillati; Bacillota; Clostridia; Eubacteriales; Oscillospiraceae. The record is from RNAcentral.
AGAGUUUGAUCAUGGCUCGAGGAUAAACGCUGGCGGCGCACAUAAGACAUGCAAGUCGAACGGAAGCCGUUUAAAAAUUAAUUGAUUGGAUAUGAGGACUUGUCCAAUUUGAAGAGAUGUUAAUUUUAAACAUAUGACUUUAGUGGCGGACUGGUGAGUAACGCGUAAGCAAUCUGCCUAUCAGAGGGGAAUAACAGCGAGAAAUCGUUGCUAAUACCGCAUAUGCUUAAGUAUCGCAUGAUACAAUAAGGAAAGGAGUAAUCCGCUGAUAGAUGGGCUUGCGUCUGAUUAGAUAGUUGGUGGGGUAACGGCCUACCAAGUCGAUGAUCAGUAGCCGGACUGAGAGGUUGAACGGCCACAUUGGGACUGAGAUACGGCCCAGACUCC